Vicugna pacos (alpaca) is the source of this 2001-nucleotide non-coding RNA. Lineage: Eukaryota; Metazoa; Chordata; Mammalia; Artiodactyla; Camelidae. The record is from RefSeq and is a predicted model, not a curated record.
CUCUCUGUGCCACAGGCACCCCAUCUGUGAAAUGGGCAGAUGAUGGUGUUCCCCGCCCACACAAGCUUGCGAGGUUCUGUGAGUAAUGGUGGGGUACGUAGGAUUUGGAGCAGUGCCUGGCGUGCAUUCGGCGAGCGUUAUGCAAAUAUUAGCUGCUGGUAUCCCCACCACCACCAUCAUCAUUACUGUCAGCGUUAUUGCUUCCGGAGAGCCUACCCUGGCCCAGCAUCCUGCUGGGUGGGGAGCUGUGUGGGGUCAGAUCUGGGAGGAGGGGACCCAUUCCUGGGAUGACCCGGGCUCUCCCGGGACACCAGGGCUGCUGUUCAUCCCUCCACCCAUUGGGUAAAGGUGGGAGCUCCAGAGCUAGGUGGUCUGGCCGCCUCCCAGUCCUGCACUGACAGCUGUGAGGCCCGGGGCGUGGCUGCAAUACCCUGUGUCUUGGCUUCCCCCGCUGUCACGUGAGGACAAGAGCAGAGCUCGCCUCGCAGCGUGGUUGAGAGGCUGAGAUGUGCUGACCCUCUUUAAGCUCUGGGACCAUAUAGCUGGCAUCAGUAAACAUCGGCUCUUGGUGUUGUGGAUGGUUGCCUGUGUUGGACACUGGGGGGACAGGGAAUCAAGACAGGAGUGAGACGGUGGCCGGAGCAGGAGGUGCCUCCAAGGGUCCUCUGUACACGGCCCACCAUUGCUCUUGGCACAUGAAGUGGUGAUACCCACUGUGCCAGCUCUGGUGGGCCUGCAGCUCAGCCUGAGGAAGGAGGGAAGGCACAGCGUGUCAUGGGGACGGUGGCCCCCUCUGUCCCACUUGGCUUCCUGUGCACCAUCGUGCAGGGUCACUGGAGAAGCCAGUUUCUGUAAGGCCUGGAUGACUGGAGAAACACUUGCCAAAUACUGGGGUUUGAACCCAGGACCUCCUGCAUGUGGUAUGCAUUCUACCACUCAGCUUUACCCACCCUUUUUAAGUGCACUGUUUGGUGAGUCUUCACAAAUGUUUGCAGCAGUGAGACCACCACCACAAUGAAGAUACAAAACACCCCCGGCCCCAGAAAAGCCCCUUGUUCCCCUCCCCCACCCCUGCAACCACAGGUCUGUUUUCUGUCCCUCUGGCUCCGCCUUUGCCGGACUGCUGGACUGUCGUAGGGGGAAGGUGUUCAGCGUGAAGACUACGGGUCUGGCUUCCUCCUCUUUGCACGCUGUUUUUGGUGCCUGUGUCAUGGUCGAGACUGGGGUCCUGUGGUCAGGAUGCACCACAACCUGUGUGUCCACUUGCCUGUGGAGGGACACUGGGGUGUCUACUUUGUGUGUUUUAAUUCUGCCACAGCUGUCUUCGCCUGCUCAGGCUGCUGCAUUGGAGUACCAUGAACCAGGGCUUAGCCAACAGCUGUUUAUUCCUCAGGGUUCGAGGCUCGAAGCCCGAGAGCUGGCACCGGCAGCCUGGGGCCGCCUCCUCACCAUGUCCUCACGUGGCUGCUGCUUGGCGCACUUGCAGAGACCAUUCUCGAGUCUCACUUCUUACAAGGAUGCUAAUCCCAUCAUGGGGGCCCCAUCCUCACGACCUGAUCUAAGCCAAAUUGCCUCCCAAAGACCCCACCUCCGGACACCAUUGCACUGGGGGCUAGGGCUUCAACAGAUGAAUCUGGGGAGGACACAAACGUUUGGUCCACAACAGCAAUUCAUAUGCUCCCGUGAAGCCUGUGGCAUCAUCCCCCCCCCCACCGGUGGGUGGCGAUACGGAGGCCAUGGAAUAGGCCCUCCUUGCCUGCCUUUCUCCCCUUUCUGGUUCCCAGCGAGACUGAGCAGGGCCCAUGUCCCCUAAGGAAUAAGUCUGUGCACCCCCGGACCCAUCUCCCAGUGUCAGGUCUGACCUUGGCUGAAGAUGCCUCUUUGUCUCUGCCAGAGCCCUGUGGCCAGCUCGAAUAAUUGGAUUUUAAUAAAACGGAUGGGAGUGCAGGAGCAGUUCACCACCCUGGCCUGCGCCGAGGCCCUGCAAUUAAACCGAUUAUG